GACGAACGCUGGCGGCGUGCUUAACACAUGCAAGUCGAACGGAAAGGCCCUGCUUUUGUGGGGUGCUCGAGUGGCGAACGGGUGAGUAACACGUGAGUAACCUGCCCUUGACUUUGGGAUAACUUCAGGAAACUGGGGCUAAUACCGGAUAGGAGCUCCUGCUGCAUGGUGGGGGUUGGAAAGUUUCGGCGGUUGGGGAUGGACUCGCGGCUUAUCAGCUUGUUGGUGGGGUAGUGGCUUACCAAGGCUUUGACGGGUAGCCGGCCUGAGAGGGUGACCGGCCACAUUGGGACUGAGAUACGGCCCAGACUCCUACGGGAGGCAGCAGUGGGGAAUAUUGCACAAUGGGCGGAAGCCUGAUGCAGCAACGCCGCGUGUGGGAUGACGGCCUUCGGGUUGUAAGCCGAUUUCGCCUGUGACGAAGCGUGAGUGACGGUAAUGGGUAAAGAAGCACCGGCUAACUACGUG
RNAcentral lists this ribosomal RNA (468 nucleotides) under uncultured bacterium. Its description in RNAcentral is "partial 16S ribosomal RNA". It matches the Rfam family "Bacterial small subunit ribosomal RNA", at positions 28 to 507 of the family's 1533-position model. The record is from RNAcentral.